Molecule: long non-coding RNA, 731 nt
Organism: Phalaenopsis equestris
Lineage: Eukaryota; Viridiplantae; Streptophyta; Magnoliopsida; Asparagales; Orchidaceae
Exons: 3
Source: RefSeq, a predicted model, not a curated record
AUGCAUGCUUACCUAUUCUCUGUUACAAUGGAAAUGUUACGAAUUAUGUUAUGCGUUGAAAGAAAAUUUACGGGUUUCUCGGACUGAUCUAAUGUAUCAUUUUCUCCCUCUAUUUAAUCAUCUUACAUGUUUUAUAACAUGAUUGUGGGAAUAUUACAUGAUUGGCCUAAGAUGGAUUUUUAGAAUUCCAUGGAUGUGUUAAGCUUUUCUGGAAUGAUUGAUGGUGGCCAUUUCUCUGGUUUGCAAUUUUUUUUAGCCAUGAAGGGAAGUUUAAAAGCAUGCCUCUUGUCCUAUGUUCUGAGCCUUUGAGGAAUUCUUUUGCCUGCUGCCCUUAGCCGAGAAUCGCUAAAGCCGAAAUCUGUUUAGUUGCUUUUUUUAUUUCUUUAUAACUUGGCUUUGAAUGGUCCUUACCUUUAUGUUGUAAGAAUACAGGAAUGUUAACUUAAAUGAUAUGCAUAAAUGCAUUAAUGAUGCUUCACCAUUCAGUGGAGAUUAAUAACUCAGAGAGGAAACUGGAAGUAAGCCGGUUCAUGGGUUGAGGCGUCACGUCGGGGUUGCUUUGAGCCUGACUUUUCUGAAGUGCUAUACACAUUCUCUUUGGAAUUUUGGAAUUUCAGGGUCACUAAUUGUGUGGGUUAUUUUAAUUGAGUUGGGAUUUUAGUUGGCUUUCUUUGGGCUUCCUUUGAGUUUCAGUUAUGAGGCUAUCUAUUAAUCUGAAAGUUAAAAAAAUU